Heterocephalus glaber (naked mole-rat) is the source of this 1665-nucleotide long non-coding RNA. Lineage: Eukaryota; Metazoa; Chordata; Mammalia; Rodentia; Bathyergidae. The record is from Ensembl.
UGAAGUCACAUCCUGCCUAACCCAACUCAACAUGAUUUAUUCCACCCCAGGAAUGCAGCUCGAUUCCCAGAAUUUGGUCGACAACUUUAGUCAAAAGGCUUGAUCUUGCAAGGGCUCCAUUUAUAGGCUCCGCUGCACUGGCAGCCAGGGGGAGCCCCAGCUCAGCUCAGACCUGCAGGAGGGAAUCCCACAAAGUCAGGGCUGUGACAAGCACCCACAGCCAUCUCAGCCUGGAAGCUCCAAUUUUUUUCUAAAUUUCACCCAGGACAAAAUUUGCAUAUAUACAUACAUAUAUUUAAUUUUAAAACUUUUUAUCACAAAUACAGGCAAACAUAUUGAACAAAAGCUUCACAAAAUGAUGCAUACAUGGUGAAAGAUCUGAUACUUUCUACUUGAGUCUAUUUUAUUUCGUUUCUAAAAAUACUGAUUGCCACCCACUAAAGUAAUUUCACGACCCGCCAUUGAGUCUUAGCUGACAGUGUGGAAAACACCGGCUUGACUCAAACUUCACUGGGCAGGAGAGACUUAACUAGACCAUCCACUGGCCCACGGUCACUUCACGAGCUAGCCCAAGAAGAACUCAAGUCCAAAGCCAAAGAGGAAUCUCUGUGGGGGUCCAGCCUCCGAGAGCUGAGAAGGUCUCAGGAAGAGGUCUGAGGAGGCAGAGCUACAACCAGGAUAACCCAGUGCGCAGUGCCAGCCCUGGGCACAGGAAGACAUAAAGAACAGUACCAUGCUUUCCAGAGCUGAGUGGGCAAGCUGCAGCUCAGAGCUGAGUGGGCAAGCUGCAGCCCAGAGCCUCCUGCCUCCCUGGAGAAGAUGAACCAUGGAGUGAAGAAAGCCAUUUCACACUUUCAAGAAAAAUUAACUUACAGUUCCUAGAGUGAGCUGCACAGCACCCUUGUCUGAAACCUGGCCAAUCCCAGCUGUCCUGGAGCAGGGAGCCUGGCUGGCAGGGAUGACCUCAUGAUGUCCUUCACCAGAAACCUGGCUGCUGUGUAUUUUACCACCCACCAAGCACUGCUCCUGGGUCCAAGCCGCAGUCUGGUUCCAAAGUGGCAAGGGCUAUACAAGACAGAAGGAAGAAGCAGUAGCCCCUUCCCUAGGAAGACACAAAUUCAGCCACAUCAUCCUGGCCUGGCCCAAUUCCUAUACCCACUCACCCCGCCAAGACAUUCAAUAAAGAGCUAUAUACAUACAGAAUACAGAGAUCUGUGCACAGAGACCUGUGUACUCACAGAUGCCUGUACACACACACCCCGAGGAUGCUGGGAUCAGAGCAGAAAUGUGAGCCAUUCCUGGGCCAAGCCAAUCUGUAUAUAAGCGCUGCAUUCUCUAUUUAGCAAGAAUCUAGGUGAAUUAUUUAAUCAUUUCUUUAUUGCUAAAAUAGGAUUUAGGAAAGCCUCCUCAAAGGACGGUAGGAGCAUGUGUGCACAAUUAAAUAAGAGCCAUAACACUUCGUUCUGAGUGCUUUUGGAGUAAUCACCCAUAGUAUCCCUAUGAGGUAGGUUUUUCUGGUAUGCUGCUUUGCAGAUGGGGAACCUGAAGCCCAGAAUGUGUACACAACUGCUGGUGGUGUCUACACCACUCGGUGCUCUUGGGGGGGGUCUCUGCCUAACCACGUGACUCCUUGCUUCAGAGGAUACAAUGAGGCAGCAAAUGCAC